RNAcentral lists this ribosomal RNA (800 nucleotides) under uncultured bacterium. RNAcentral describes it as "bacterial SSU rRNA". It matches the Rfam family "Bacterial small subunit ribosomal RNA", at positions 8 to 796 of the family's 1533-position model. The record is from RNAcentral.
AGAGUUUGAUCAUGGCUCAGAACGAACGCUGGCGGCGUGGAUAAGACAUGCAAGUCGAACGGAAUUUUCCAGUGUAGCAAUACAUUGGAAGGUUCAGUGGCGAACGGGUGAGUAACAGGUGGGAAUCUACCUUGAAGUGGGGGAUAGCUCUCCGAAAGGAGAAUUAAUACCGCAUGUGGUUGAAAAACCAAAGUCGGGGACCGCAAGGCCUGACGCUUCUAGAUGAGCCCGCCUCCUAUCAGCUUGUUGGUAAGGUAACGGCUUACCAAGGCUAUGACGGGUAGCUGGUCUGAGAGGACGACCAGCCACACUGGGACUGAGACACGGCCCAGACACCUACGGGUGGCAGCAGUCGAGGAUUUUUCUCAAUGGGGGAAACCCUGAAGGAGCGACGCCGCGUGGAGGAUGAAGGGCUUCGGCUCGUAAACUCCUGUCACUAGGGAACAAAUGUUGCGUCCUAACACGACGCAGCUUGAUGGUACCUGGAGAGGAAGGCACGGCUAACUCUGUGCCAGCAGCCGCGGUAAUACAGAGGUGCCAAGCGUUGUUCGGAUUUACUGGGCGUAAAGGGUGCGUAGGCGGUUUGGUAAGUCAAAUGUGAAAUCCUACAGCUUAACUGUAGAAAUGCAUUCGAAACUGCCAGGCUAGAGUACUGGAGGGGAGAUCGGAAUUCUCGGUGUAGCAGUGAAAUGCGUAGAUAUCGAGAGGAACACCAGUGGCGAAGGCGGAUCUCUGGACAGUUACUGACGCUGAUGCACGAAAGCUAGGGGAGCAAACGGGAUUAGAUACCCCCGUAGUCC